UUUCGGAGCUGUGAGGCGACUGC
Molecule: non-coding RNA, 23 nt
Filed under: Cricetulus griseus (Chinese hamster)
Lineage: Eukaryota; Metazoa; Chordata; Mammalia; Rodentia; Cricetidae
Source: RNAcentral